UACGUAGGGAGCAAGCGUUGUCCGGAAUCAUUGGGCGUAAAGAGCGCGUAGGCGGCCGUGUAAGUCCGCUCUGAAAGUCGGAGGCUCAACCUCCGAAAGCGGGUGGAUACUGCACGGCUAGAGUCCGGAAGAGGCGAGUGGAAUUCCUGGUGUAGCGGUGGAAUGCGCAGAUAUCAGGAGGAACACCAAUUGCGAAGGCAGCUCGCUGGGACGUAACUGACGCUGAGACGCGAAAGCGUGGGGAGCAAACAGG
Molecule: ribosomal RNA, 253 nt
Filed under: uncultured bacterium
Lineage: Bacteria
Description: partial 16S ribosomal RNA
Rfam family: Bacterial small subunit ribosomal RNA
Source: RNAcentral